Molecule: long non-coding RNA, 207 nt
Filed under: Lathyrus oleraceus (garden pea)
Lineage: Eukaryota; Viridiplantae; Streptophyta; Magnoliopsida; Fabales; Fabaceae
Description: Pisum sativum (pea) long non-coding RNA (PSAT_LNC020270)
Source: RNAcentral
UUUUUUGCUUUUAAUUGCAGUUUUUAUUUUUAUUUUCUUUUCCAGUUAAGCUUCUAGCAAUUAAUUAAUUUUUCGCACAAUAGUUUCUACACCGGAAACUAUUGUGUACCUUUCACCGGAUCUAACCUUACGUUAGAAUCUAGGUUUUUUUUUAUUCCUUCGCUUUUAUUUUUCUGUCUGAUUGAAGAAUUCAAGAACAAAUCCAAC